GAAUGAUAAGUCUGAUGUGAAAGCCCACGGCUCAACCGUGGAACUGCAUCGGAAACUGUCAUUCUUGAGUGCAGAAGAGGAGAGUGGAACUCCAUGUGUAGCGGUGGAAUGCGUAGAUAUAUGGAAGAACACCAGUGGUGAAGGCGGCUCUCUGGUCUGCAACUGACGCUGAGGCUCGAAAGCAUGGGUAGCGAACAGGAU
RNAcentral lists this ribosomal RNA (201 nucleotides) under uncultured bacterium. RNAcentral's name for it is "partial 16S ribosomal RNA". It matches the Rfam family "Bacterial small subunit ribosomal RNA", at positions 578 to 778 of the family's 1533-position model. The record is from RNAcentral.